GCAGACACACUCUGUUCUUCGCUGUGCACGCCAGCCUGGGACUUUUUCUGUCUGCGACACGAACACGCAGAAUGUAUCACUGCUGGCUUUACGAGAAGGCCAGCGUCAGUAUGUUCUGCUACAACUGG
RNAcentral lists this small nucleolar RNA (128 nucleotides) under Kryptolebias marmoratus (mangrove rivulus). RNAcentral's name for it is "Small nucleolar RNA SNORA77 (ENSKMAG00000009238.1)". It matches the Rfam family "Small nucleolar RNA SNORA77". Rfam says of the family: ACA63 (SNORA77) is a member of the H/ACA class of snoRNAs that guide the sites of modification of uridines to pseudouridines. Lineage: Eukaryota; Metazoa; Chordata; Actinopteri; Cyprinodontiformes; Rivulidae. The record is from Rfam by way of RNAcentral.